This 856-nucleotide long non-coding RNA is filed under the name Rattus norvegicus (Norway rat). RNAcentral describes it as "long non-coding RNA NONRATT017454". Lineage: Eukaryota; Metazoa; Chordata; Mammalia; Rodentia; Muridae. The record is from RNAcentral.
AAUAGACACGGGGGAGGGAUGGGAAAGAUGAGCCAAGAGAGAUGACAGGGGAGACAGACCAAGGAUACAGAUAUAAACCAGCAGAUUUAUAUAAAUUCAGAGAAGCACUGAGGAGACAGGAAGGAAAAAGUGGGCUGGGACUGAAGGAGGGGGUCAAGUGCAAGACAUAGAAGACCUUAUAUGGGUUAAAUAAGAGCUCAUCAGAGCCAAAGCCUAUGGCCUAUGCAUUUAAUAAUAAACAUUUAAUCUCAGAGUAGUCAUUCCAGGAACAGGACUAGGUAGGAAAAAUGGAUAUAAUAUUUGUAUUUACAAGGACCCUCAGUUGAAAAAAUGCCCCACUAGAUUGGCUUGAAGGCAAGACUAUGGCAUAUUUUCUUGACUAAUGAUUGAUGUGGGGUGGUCCAGCCCACUGGAAGUGGGCCAACACCCUGGGCAGGUGCUUCUUGGUUGUGUAAGAAAGAAGGCAGCUGAGCAAACCACUGGGAACAAACCAGUAAGCAGCUGCCUUCCAUGGUCUCUGCAUAAGCUUCUGCCUCCAGGCUCCUGCCUCGGCUUCCCUCAGUGCGAUCAUGAGUGGGAUACAUAAACCAUUUCCCCAGUAAGUUGCCUUUGGUUAGUAUUCUGUCAAAGCAAUAGGAGCAAACUAAGACUAGCAACAUUUAUAUCACUUUUAAAUGUGAAAAGCUGUAGAGAUAGAGACGAGACGAGUGAUUUCUAGUUAGGUAACGGUCGGGGAAGCAGGGAGGAGCAAAGCCUAUGAAGAGGAGCGCCAUGCUGGUGGAAGUGUGGUCUUGUGAAGACGACUCCAUCAAUCCAGACAAGGGAUAAAACUGCAAAAAAAAAAAAAAAAACAAAA